UAAUAAUUAAUUAAUUAAUAAUUUUAUUCUUAUUAAUUAAUUUAUUAUUAAUUAAAUAAUUUAUUUAUUUUUAAUUAAUCAAUUAAUAAUUUAUAAUUAUUAAUAAUUAAUUAUUUAUAUUUUAUUAUUUAAAUAAUUUUUUAUUAAUUAAUUUAUUUAUAUUUUAUAAUUAUUAAUAUUAAUUUAUUAUUAUUAAGUAAUAUUUUGAUGUUAAUUAAUUAGGUAAAAUAAUUUUAAUUUAAAAUUAUAACUCUUAUCCUAUUUCUAGGAACAACCCAAUUUUUAUCCAAACGCAAAAUUGGUCAAAUUCCUGCUUAUAUCUGAACUUGUACCUAUCCCUGGAAUAAGCAGUUCUUAUUUAUACCCGAACCAAACGCAGUCUCAGGGAUUGAUCAG
Molecule: long non-coding RNA, 396 nt
Filed under: Ananas comosus (pineapple)
Lineage: Eukaryota; Viridiplantae; Streptophyta; Magnoliopsida; Poales; Bromeliaceae
Description: long non-coding RNA (ACOM_LNC028308)
Source: RNAcentral